This 777-nucleotide long non-coding RNA is filed under the name Centruroides sculpturatus (bark scorpion). Its description in RNAcentral is "uncharacterized LOC111637742, transcript variant X1". The record is from RNAcentral. Lineage: Eukaryota; Metazoa; Arthropoda; Arachnida; Scorpiones; Buthidae.
UAUCAAUCGAUAAUUGUUUACUGCAAAAUUUCUCAAUCUUCUAAUGCAUUGACGGAUUGUGAUAUACUUAGAAAGGAAGUAAACUAUUAAAUAUGAUGAUCGCGAUCUAUCAGUUGGCACUUUUCAACCUUCUGACUUAUCGAAAAACUGUGAUAUAUUUAAAAAUGCAGUUAAAUUAUUAACGUGAUCGCGAUCUACCAGUUGGAAAUGUGGAUUUGAAUUUCUAAAAAUCACCAUUCAAUUUAUGCAGUUAAUUUUCCACUAUUCCUGAAUUAUUAUAAAUUCCUGUAGGUAAUUUCCGACUAUUCCUGGAUCACUGUAUAAUAUUGAUAACUAAUUUCCUACUAUUCCUAGAUUAUUGUAUCAUUUCAGUAACUAAUUUCCAUCUAUUCCUGGAUCAUUAUAUACACUUUCAGUAACUAAUUUAUGAAUCUUCCUCGAUUGUGAUAUAAUUUUCUGAUGCACCUAGAAGGAAAUUAUCAACUAGGAAAGCUAGUAACAGCUUUAAUAAAGAAAGGAAAACCUUAUUUAAAGAAUUCUAGUAUAUUUCACGUUAAAAUUUGGAUAUUUUACAUUAGAAUGGUUUAGAAAAAUAUUCUUCGUAAAAUUCUCUCUACAAUUCGUUAGAAAAGCCUAUAUUUCAUGAGCACGUGUCAGGAUUAUAAAUAAGAAAUAUCCAAAAUUCGCCAGAUAUUCUACCUAAUGAUACCGUAAUGAUUCGAAGAUAAUAAUAGCUUCUUAAUGAUUUAAUAAUGAAUAAAAUUAUCAUAUUUGGCA